UCUCUCUCUCACUGCAGAUCUUGAACGGAGAAUUCCCUUGGAAAAGGAGUUUCUUCCCCCUUUCCUUUCCUUUGGAGAGAGAGAGAGAGAGAUCUUCUUCCUUCUCCUUUUUAAGCACAGAGAGAGAUGGGGAGCAGCAACGGUGAUGGAUCGGACAGAGAGGGGUCGGAUGCGGGGUCGGACGAACGGCCGAUGACGUUCGAGUACUCUGGUUGGGUCUAUCAUCUCGGCGCCAAUUCAAUCGGUCAUGAAUAUUGCCAUCUCAGAUUCCUCUUCUUGAAAGGAAAGUACGUCAGGAUGUAUAAAAGAGAUCCCCAUGAGGAUCCCGACAUUAGACCCAUUAGGAAGGGAGUUAUUGGCCAUACUCUAAUGGUGGAGGAGAGAGGAUGUAGGAAGGUCAAUCAUGGGGAUGUUUAUGUCUUGAGAUUUUACAAUAGAUUGGACGAGACGAAGAAAGGAGAAAUUGCCUGUGCCACAGCUGGAGAAGCACGGAAAUGGAUGGAAGCCUUUGAUCAGGCCAAGCAACUGGCCGAGUAUGAGCUUUCAAGAGGAAGCAGCCGAUGCAAACUAAACAUUGAGACUGAGAUCAAUCUUGAACAUCGUCCACGGGUGAGGCGGUAUGCGCAUGGUUUGAAAAGGCUUAUAAGAAUUGGAAAAGGUCCAGAGACGCUUCUGCGCAAGUCGUCAGAUCUCAGAUCAGAUGGAUAUUUUGAUGGGGAUGUUACAGAUGCAAUCGAAGCACAUGAAUGGAAAUGCAUCCGCACUGUAAAUGGUAUUAGAAUAUUGGAGGAUGUGGCCAGCUCAAAGAGUGAUAAGGGUUUCCUUGUGAAAGCUGUUGGUGUUGUUGAUGCAAGCUUAGACACAGUCUUUGAAGUGGUUUGCAGCCUUGACCGACAUCAGAGAUAUGAGUGGGACAUGUUGACAGGUGAUCUUGAAUUAGUAGAUUCUGUAAAUGGGCAUUUUGAUGUUCUCUAUGGGACUUAUGACCCUAAAUACAUGUCUCGGUGGCAUUCAAAAAGAGAUUUUGUUUUCUCAAGGCAGUGGUUUCGUGGGCAAGAUGGAGCAUACACCAUCUUACAGUUUCCAACCAUCCAUAAGAAGCGGCCUCCAAAAUCUGGUUAUCAGCGUACAAAAAUGAUUCCAUCCAUUUGGGAGAUUAGAAGAUUAAAUCCAUCACCAACUUCAAGUGGUGAUAAAUGCCUUGUAACACAAAUGUUGGAGAUAAACUCUAGUGGCUGGGGUAAAUGGAAGAAACAUUACCAUUCAAAGUUCGAGAAGACCAUCCCUUAUGCGUUGUUGUGCCAAGUUGCAGGUUUGAGAGAAUAUUUUGGAGCGAAUCCUGCACUCACAGUGGAUUCUCCCACUGCAGUUGACCAUUCAAAGUUUUCUAAUGUUUCUGGUGCUAGUGGUGAACUUGAGGAUUCCGAAACAAAUGAUGAGUUUUAUGAUGCGAUUGCUGCUGACAUGUCACUGGAAGAUGAAGAUAGUGAUGAAUCUGAUGACAGUGACAACAAUGAUGAGCUUUCCAAGGGUGGAAAGGUAAAGCUGAAGAAUGUUUCAUGGGCCAUUGCAAACUUGGCUCUAAAGAAAAGCUCAGCUCAUGGCACCAACACCGAAUUAGAUGCACAGGUUCCUCCUACUGAUGUUGAUGCAAGCCAAUUUCAUGGUUCUAUGCCUCAAGCGAAAGCUGAAACUGACACAAACUGUUGGGCUGCUCCAAGUGGCCAAGGAUUCAUGAUAAGAGGAAAAACAUAUUUGAAGGAUUUCUCUAAGGUUAUGGGAACGGAUCCCCUUCUGAAGCUCUUGGCAGUUGACUGGUUUACAGCUGAUAAAAACAUGGAUAGGAUUGCUCUGGAUCCUAAAUGUCUUGUUCAGUCAGAAGCUGGAAAGAAGCUCCCAUUCAUCUUUGUGAUAAAUCUACAGGUUCCAGCAAAGCCAAACUAUAGCUUGGUUCUCUAUUAUGGAGCUGACAGACCCAUAAAUGAAGGAUCUUUAUUGAGUAAAUUUGUGGAUGGGACUGACAUGUUUCGGGAUGCAAGAUUCAAGCUUAUUCCAAGCAUCGUAGAGGGAUAUUGGAUGGUCAAGCGUGCAGUUGGAACCAAAGCUUGCCUUUUAGGGAAAGCAGUUACCUGCAAAUACCUUAGACAAGAUAAUUUUCUGGAGAUAGAUGUGGAUAUUGGUUCUUCAUCUGUGGCAAGGAGUAUCAUUGGUUUAGUCCUUGGAUACGUCACAAGCAUUGUGGUUGACCUUGCAAUUCUGAUCGAGGCGAGGGAAGAGAAAGAGCUGCCCGAAUACAUUCUUGGGACUGUUCGUCUAAACCGUUUUAGACUUGACUCUGCUAUACCAUUUUGAGGAUAUUCACGAUCACAAAAGGGUUAUAAAUGUUACAGCCCUCUAACUCGCAAGAAGUAUGUGUCAUUGGAUGUCGCCUUCUUUGAUUAUGUUCCCUACUUCUCACUUGAAGGACGUUCACUACUUAUUAUCUUUCUAAUCCCGCGGGGGGCUCUUUCAGUCCCCUUUCUUGAUGAAGACUCCCAUCCUUCUGAACCCCCAAGCCACUAUGUGUGCACCAACAAAGGAAGAAAUACUCCACCAAUCAACCUUCCAUCAUUAUUUCCACUUCUAAUGGAGAUUCAGAUCUUCUGUUAUCUCAAAUUGGAUCCUCGUAAAGGCAUGAUUUUAGCAAGAUGGUCAUCUUCAUCUCUUUGGUUAAUUUGAUGCUGACUAUGCUAGUAGUCUUCAUGAUCGGCAGUCUACAUUUAGUUAUUGCACCUUUGCAAGUGGUAAUCUGGUCAUUCAGAAUAGUAAAAAUCAGUCAAUGGUGGAUCAGUCCACUGUAUAAGUUAAAUAUAGGACAAUGGCACAUGUGACAUGUGAACUUAUGUGGCUUUGCACUUUGGUACAAGAGCUUGGUUAUCGUCCUUCUGGUCCCAUUCCUCUAUACUGUGACAAUCAAGCUGCCAUUCAUAUUGCUAGCAAUUAUGUGUUUCAUGAUCGCACUAAA
Magnolia sinica is the source of this 3004-nucleotide RNA transcript. It is a transcript of the gene named protein ENHANCED DISEASE RESISTANCE 2-like, with no coding region annotated. The transcript is spliced from 24 exons. NCBI's taxonomy places the organism in Eukaryota, Viridiplantae, Streptophyta, Magnoliopsida, Magnoliales, Magnoliaceae. The record is from RefSeq and is a predicted model, not a curated record.